RNAcentral lists this ribosomal RNA (406 nucleotides) under uncultured bacterium. RNAcentral's name for it is "partial 16S ribosomal RNA". It matches the Rfam family "Bacterial small subunit ribosomal RNA", at positions 30 to 526 of the family's 1533-position model. The record is from RNAcentral.
AUUGAACGCUGGCGGCAGGCCUAACACAUGCAAGUCGAACGAGUGGCGGACGGGUGAGUAAUGUCUGGGAAACUGCCUGAUGGAGGGGGAUAACUACUGGAAACGGUAGCUAAUACCGCAUACCAUCGGAUGUGCCCAGAUGGGAUUAGCUAGUUGGUGGGGUAAAGGCUCCCCAAGGCAACGAUCCGUAGCUGGUUUGAGAGGAUGACGAUCCACACUGGAACUGAGACACGGCCCAGACUCCUACGGGAGGCAGCAGUGGGGAAUAUUGGACAAUGGGGGAAAGCCUGAUGCAGCCAGCCCGCGUGUAUGAUGAAGGCCUUCGGGUUGUAAAGUACUUUUAGCGGGGAGGCGGUAUCUGCAGAAUAAGAACCGGCUAACUCCGUGCCAGCAGCCGCGGUAAUAC